AUACAAUCUACUGUCUUUCUU
Molecule: microRNA, 21 nt
Filed under: Xenopus laevis (African clawed frog)
Lineage: Eukaryota; Metazoa; Chordata; Amphibia; Anura; Pipidae
Description: xla-let-7a*
Source: RNAcentral